AGUGAACGCUGGCGGUAGGCCUAACACAUGCAAGUCGAACGGCAGCACAGUAAGAGCUUGCUCUUACGGGUGGCGAGUGGCGGACGGGUGAGGAAUACAUCGGAAUCUACUUUUUCGUGGGGGAUAACGUAGGGAAACUUACGCUAAUACCGCAUACGACCUACGGGUGAAAGUAGGGGAUCUUCGGACCUUGCGCGAUUGAAUGAGCCGAUGUCGGAUUAGCUAGUUGGCGGGGUAAAGGCCCACCAAGGCGACGAUCCGUAGCUGGUCUGAGAGGAUGAUCAGCCACACUGGAACUGAGACACGGUCCAGACUCCUGCGGGAGGCAGCAGUGUGGAAUAUUGGACAAUGGGCGCAAGCCUGAUCCAGCCAUACCGCGUGGGUGAAGAAGGCCUUCGGGUUGUAAAGCCCUUUUGUUGGGAAAGAAAAGCAGCAGGUUAAUACCCCGCUGUUCUGACGGUACCCAAAGAAUAAGCACCGGCUAACUUCGUG
This 492-nucleotide ribosomal RNA is filed under the name uncultured bacterium. RNAcentral's name for it is "partial 16S ribosomal RNA". It matches the Rfam family "Bacterial small subunit ribosomal RNA", at positions 29 to 507 of the family's 1533-position model. The record is from RNAcentral.